AUUGAACGCUGGCGGAAUGCUUUACACAUGCAAGUCGAGCGGCAGCACGGGGCGAACCCUGGUGGCGAGCGGCGAACGGGUGAGUAAUGCAUCGGAACGUACCCAGUCGUGGGGGAUAACUGUCCGAAAGGACAGCUAAUACCGCAUACGUCCUGAGGGAGAAAGCAGGGGAUCGCAAGACCUUUGCGCGAAUGGAGCGGCCGAUGCCGGAUUAGCUAGUUGGUAGGGUAAAGGCCUACCAAGGCGACGAUCCGUAGCUGGUCUGAGAGGAUGAUCAGCCACACUGGAACUGAGACACGGUCCAGACUCCUACGGGUGGCUG
This 322-nucleotide ribosomal RNA is filed under the name uncultured Pseudomonadota bacterium. RNAcentral describes it as "bacterial SSU rRNA". It matches the Rfam family "Bacterial small subunit ribosomal RNA", at positions 30 to 351 of the family's 1533-position model. The record is from RNAcentral. Lineage: Bacteria; Pseudomonadati; Pseudomonadota.